RNAcentral lists this ribosomal RNA (1944 nucleotides) under Triticum aestivum (bread wheat). RNAcentral describes it as "partial small subunit ribosomal RNA". The record is from RNAcentral. Lineage: Eukaryota; Viridiplantae; Streptophyta; Magnoliopsida; Poales; Poaceae.
AUGGCGUUCUGGUGGCCGCUGCUGGUGCUCGCCGCCGCCUACGCGCUCUGCCGCGUCCUGCUCUUCCUCAUCCCGCCCACCGUCCCCUCCAUGGAGGUCGACGCCUCCGAUGUGAUGGAGGAGGUCAACCAGAACAAGGAGGAUAGCUUCAUCUACGUACCAAGGAAGGGGAAAGCUGCUCAGACUGAUAUGGUUCGAUGCUACGAGCCAGCUACCAUGAAAUACUUGGGAUACUUUCCUGCUUUAACUCCUGAUGAGGUCCAAGAGCAUGUUGCACAAGCUCGUAAAGCACAAGAGAUAUGGGCGAAAAGCAGCUUCAAACAAAGGCGGCAGUUUCUUCGGAUCCUUCUGAAGUAUAUACUUGAACAUCAGGAUCUGAUAUGCGAGAUAUCAUCUCGUGACACUGGAAAGACUAUGGUUGAUGCUUCAUUAGGUGAGAUCAUGACCACAUGUGAGAAGAUUCACUGGCUUUUGGAUGAGGGUGAGAAAUGGUUAAAACCUGAGUACAGAUCUUGUGGGAGAUCAAUGCUACACAAAACAGCGAAAGUUGAAUUCUAUCCUCUCGGGGUGAUUGGUGCAAUUGUAUCAUGGAACUAUCCUUUCCAUAAUGUGUUCAAUCCGAUGCUGGCUGCAGUAUUCUCUGGUAAUGCAGCAGUUAUAAAGGUUUCAGAGCAUGCGAGUUGGUCCGGCUGUUUUUAUUCCCGUAUCAUACAAGCAGCUCUGUUAGCUGUUGGUGCCCCAGAUAAUCUGGUUCACAUAGUAACUGGUUUUGCGGAAACGGGUCAAGCUCUUGUAUCUUCAGUGGACAAAAUAAUAUUCGUUGGAUCACCUGGCGUUGGAAGGAUGAUUAUGCAAAAAGCAUCGGAAACAUUAAUACCUGUAACUCUUGAGCUUGGUGGCAAAGACGCAUUUAUUGUGUGCGAAGAUGUGGAUUUACCCAAUGUUGUUCAAGUUGCUGUGAGAGCUGCACUGCAAUCUAGUGGACAGAACUGUGCUGGUGCUGAAAGAUUUUAUGUCCACAAGGAUAUCUAUCCUACCUUUGUUUCUCGCGUAGUGAAGAUAAUCAAAUCAAUAUCUGUUGGGCCCCCAUUAUCUGGCAGAUACGAUAUGGGUGCAAUCUGUAUGAUAGAGCACUCUGAGAGACUUCAGAAUCUUGUUAACGAUGCUCUUGACAAAGGUGCUGAAAUUGCUGUCAGAGGGAGCUUUGGUAAUUUGGGUGAAGAUGCGGUUGAUCAGUUCUUUCCUCCAACUGUUCUAGUGAAUGUUAAUCACACAAUGAAAAUUAUGCAGGAAGAGGCAUUUGGGCCGAUUCUACCAAUCAUGAAAUUCUCUUCUGAUGAAGAGGUCAUCCAACUUGCAAAUGACUCUAAAUACGGUCUUGGUUGUGCUGUUUUUUCUGGCAACCAGAAGCGUGCCAUCAAAAUAGCAUCUCAACUACACUGUGGUGUUGCAGCAAUCAAUGACUUUGCUUCAAGUUAUAUGUGUCAGUCUCUGCCCUUUGGUGGUGUUAAAGACAGCGGGUUUGGAAGAUUCGCUGGCGUGGAAGGCUUGCGCGCCUGCUGCCUUGUAAAGGCAGUCGUAGAAGACAGGUGGUGGCCAUAUGUGAAAACAAUGAUCCCCAAGCCUAUUCAGUAUCCCGUCUCGGAGAAUGGAUUUGCAUUCCAGCAGCUGCUCGUCGAGACUCUGUACGGCAUCAGCGUGUGGGACAGGCUGCAGUCGCUCGUGAAUCUGUUGAAGAUGAUCUCGGAGCAGAAGUCUCCUAUAACCAGGAGGAAAAGCAGUCUUUUGGCUGUCGUCCCCAAGGCGCAAGUUUGGUGGGGAUCAGGUUCAGAGCAAGACAGCAUUUAUCUGAAUGUAAAACGCCCUUUAGAACCAGUGCUUAUCCUAGAAAGUGAAGAUCGCAAUCGACGUUGUAAGCCCUGGAUUCGAUUUUCACCUGCCUGA